CCCUUAGAUGUUCUGGGCCGCACGCGCGCUACACUGAAUGGAUCAACGUGUUUUCCCUUCCCGAGAGGGACGGGUAACCCGCUGAACCCCAUUCGUGGUAGGGAUCGGAGCUUGCAAUUGUUCUCCGUGAACCAGGAAUUCCCAGUAAGCGCAAGUCAUAAGCUUGCGUUGAUUACGUCCCUGCCCUUUGUACACACCGCCCGUCGCACCUACCGAUUGAAUGGUCCGGUGAAAUCUCCGGACUGGCGUGAGUCGGAGCAAUCUGACAAACGCCGGAAAGUUGAUUAAACCUUACCAUUUAGAGGAAGGUGAAGUCGUAACA
Molecule: ribosomal RNA, 322 nt
Filed under: uncultured eukaryote
Lineage: Eukaryota
Description: partial 18S ribosomal RNA
Rfam family: Eukaryotic small subunit ribosomal RNA
Source: RNAcentral